RNAcentral lists this ribosomal RNA (466 nucleotides) under uncultured bacterium. RNAcentral's name for it is "bacterial SSU rRNA". It matches the Rfam family "Bacterial small subunit ribosomal RNA", at positions 28 to 507 of the family's 1533-position model. The record is from RNAcentral.
GACGAACGCUGGCGGCGCGCCUAACACAUGCAAGUCGAACGAGCGAGAGAGAGCUUGCUUUCUCGAGCGAGUGGCGAACGGGUGAGUAACGCGUGAGGAACCUGCCUCAAAGAGGGGGACAACAGUUGGAAACGACUGCUAAUACCGCAUAAGCCCACGGUGCCGCAUGGCACAGAGGGAAAAGGAGCAAUCCGCUUUGAGAUGGCCUCGCGUCCGAUUAGCUAGUUGGUGAGGUAACGGCCCACCAAGGCGACGAUCGGUAGCCGGACUGAGAGGUUGAACGGCCACAUUGGGACUGAGACACGGCCCAGACUCCUACGGGAGGCAGCAGUGGGGAAUAUUGUACAAUGGGGGAAACCCUGAUGCAGCGACGCCGCGUGGAGGAAGAAGGUCUUCGGAUUGUAAAACUCCUGUUGUUGGGGAAGAUAAUGACGGUACCCAACAGGAAGUGACGGCUAACUACGUG